This 253-nucleotide ribosomal RNA is filed under the name uncultured bacterium. Its description in RNAcentral is "partial 16S ribosomal RNA". It matches the Rfam family "Bacterial small subunit ribosomal RNA", at positions 524 to 776 of the family's 1533-position model. The record is from RNAcentral.
GACAGAGGCCUCGAGCGUUAGGCGGAAUCACUGGGCUUAAAGCGUGUGUAGGCGGAUCGUUAAGUACCUUGUGAAAUCCCACGGCUCAACCGUGGAACGGCUGGGUAUACUGGCGGUCUUGGGCCAUUCAGGGGCGACUGGAACAAGCGGUGGAGCGGUGAAAUGCGUAGAUAUCAAGUGGAACACCAGUGGCGAAGGCGAGUCCCUGGAAAACUCCUGACACUGAGGCACGAAAGCUAGGGGAGCAAACAGG